This 86-nucleotide transfer RNA is filed under the name Firmicutes bacterium HGW-Firmicutes-13. RNAcentral describes it as "tRNA-Leu". It matches the Rfam family "tRNA". Rfam says of the family: Transfer RNA (tRNA) molecules are approximately 80 nucleotides in length. Their secondary structure includes four short double-helical elements and three loops (D, anti-codon, and T loops). Further hydrogen bonds mediate the characteristic L-shaped molecular structure. tRNAs have two regions of fundamental functional importance: the anti-codon, which is responsible for specific mRNA codon recognition, and the 3' end, to which the tRNAs corresponding amino acid is attached (by aminoacyl-tRNA synthetases). tRNAs cope with the degeneracy of the genetic code in two manners: having more than one tRNA (with a specific anti-codon) for a particular amino acid; and 'wobble' base-pairing, i.e. permitting non-standard base-pairing at the 3rd anti-codon position. Lineage: Bacteria; Bacillati; Bacillota. The record is from RNAcentral.
GCGAGAGUGGCGGAAUGGCAGACGCGCUAGGUUCAGGGUCUAGUGGGAGUACUCCCGUAGGGGUUCAAGUCCCCUCUCUCGCACCA